GGGGAUGCACCGGUUUCGACUGGUACGGUUCGGGGUAUAGGCUGCAGGUGGAGUGCCGAGCUCCUGAUUCGGCAACAAUUUAACUGCCAACAACGACAGUUACGCUCUCGCCGCGUAAGCGGUAGAACGCGGAAACCAACCCCGCCGCCUUGAGGGGUUGAGCUUCCGUCGCAAUCAAGGCUGGCCAAGCUCCUUUUCCGGAGGGGGUGCGGUGAGAUUAUUCCGGAAUACGGAGGGGCCGCGCGCUGCGCAGCCAAGCCCGUCCCGACAAUUUGAUGCGCGGCUAAACCUGUAGAGGCUUAUAUUUCGCGUAUUAGGACGCGGGUUCGAUUCCCGCCAUCUCCA
Molecule: transfer-messenger RNA, 345 nt
Filed under: Spirochaetia bacterium
Lineage: Bacteria; Pseudomonadati; Spirochaetota; Spirochaetia
Rfam family: transfer-messenger RNA
About the family: Bacterial tmRNA, also known as 10Sa RNA or SsrA, is named for its dual tRNA and mRNA-like properties. Its role is to liberate the mRNA from a stalled ribosome. To accomplish this part of the tmRNA is used as a reading frame that ends in a translation stop signal.
Source: RNAcentral